This 63-nucleotide transfer RNA is filed under the name Vibrio parahaemolyticus IDH02189. Its description in RNAcentral is "partial tRNA-Met". It matches the Rfam family "tRNA", at positions 8 to 63 of the family's 71-position model. From Rfam's summary of the family: Transfer RNA (tRNA) molecules are approximately 80 nucleotides in length. Their secondary structure includes four short double-helical elements and three loops (D, anti-codon, and T loops). Lineage: Bacteria; Pseudomonadati; Pseudomonadota; Gammaproteobacteria; Vibrionales; Vibrionaceae. RNAcentral also lists the same sequence under 2 other names. The record is from RNAcentral.
GGGGUGGAGCAGCUUGGUAGCUCGUCGGGCUCAUAACCCGAAGGUCGUCGGUUCAAAUCCGGC